Salvelinus sp. IW2-2015 is the source of this 661-nucleotide long non-coding RNA. RefSeq lists it as uncharacterized. The record is from RefSeq and is a predicted model, not a curated record. Lineage: Eukaryota; Metazoa; Chordata; Actinopteri; Salmoniformes; Salmonidae.
UCAAUGAAAGAUGUGCAGUGUCACAUGUUUAGUGUGAAUUGUCACAUGACCAGAGCUGUUUACUUCCUGGUUGCACCAUGAGAAGAGGAUGGCUGCAUCAAAGCUCCCAAACAGAAGUGUCACUUUGAGUCAAGUUCUGGAUAUGUUGAUCUAGGUGACUGCCCAGACAAGGCAUGCAACAUUGCAGUUAUCCCUCAAAAUGAGAAAGAUGCUAUCCUGAGUGAUUGUGAUAGCGAUGGGUCAGAUAUGGACUAUGGACAGGCCAUUUGCCAGCCAGGCUGUUGAAUGCAUAUGCUGAACCUAUGCAAACAGAUCAUGAUGGGAACAACGUUAUCAGUGAUGAUGACCUAUGUCCUGAUGUGAUUCCAAAACACAUAGUAUACAGCCCAAAUAUGCAAAAGUUUGGCACGAAACCACUGAGCCACGGAAGGAGAUCUUUACUGGCUGCUACUGUUGAAGAUCAGGCAAGAUAUGACAAAGCUUCUCACUGGCCAAUCAACACGAUGCACCGGUUCCAGAGAAGUCGUCAUUGUGACAAACGUACUACCUAUGCAUGUGAGAAAUGCAAAGCGCCACUGCACAUUGAGUGCUUCAAGAUAUACCAUGGACAGUAGAAAAGGAGAUAAGACCGAAUGAAAAAGGGCUGAAAAAGACAAAAGAA